RNAcentral lists this ribosomal RNA (253 nucleotides) under uncultured bacterium. Its description in RNAcentral is "partial 16S ribosomal RNA". It matches the Rfam family "Bacterial small subunit ribosomal RNA", at positions 524 to 776 of the family's 1533-position model. The record is from RNAcentral.
UACAGAGGUCUCGAGCGUUAAUCGGAUUCAUUGGGCUUAAAGCGUACGUAGGCGGAUGUGCAGGCCUCGUGUGAAAUCCCCUGGCUCAACCAGGGAACUGCUCGGUGAACCGCACGUCUUGAGGCAAGUAGAGGCUGUCGGAACGAUAGGUGGAGCGGUGAAAUGCGUAGAUAUCUAUCGGAACGCCGAAGGUGAAAACAGGCAGCUGGGCUUGAUCUGACGCUGAGGUACGAAAGCGUGGGGAGCGAACGGG